UACGGAGGGGACUAGCGUUGUUCGGAAUUACUGGGCGUAAAGCGCACGUAGGCGGAUUUGUUAGUCAGGGGUGAAAUCCCGAGGCUCAACCUCGGAACUGCCUUUGAUACUGAAGAUCUUGAGUUCGGGAGAGGUGAGUGGAACUGCGAGUGUAGAGGUGAAAUUCGUAGAUAUUCGCAAGAACACCAGUGGCGAAGGCGGCUCACUGGCCCGAUACUGACGCUGAGGCACGAAAGCGUGGGGAGCAAACAGG
RNAcentral lists this ribosomal RNA (253 nucleotides) under uncultured bacterium. RNAcentral describes it as "partial 16S ribosomal RNA". It matches the Rfam family "Bacterial small subunit ribosomal RNA", at positions 524 to 776 of the family's 1533-position model. The record is from RNAcentral.